AAUCCACUGUGGAAUUCGCCCUUAGAGUUUGAUCCUGGCUCAGGAUGAACGCUAGCGGGAGGCCUAACACAUGCAAGUCGAACGGGAUUGGGAGCUUGCUCCCAUGAGAGUGGCGCACGGGUGAGUAACGCGUAUGCAACCUACCUUUAACUGAGGGAUAGCCCAUAGAAAUGUGGAUUAAUACCUCAUAGUUCUUUUGGCCCGCAUGGGUUGAAAGAUAAAGCUCCGGCGGUUAAAGAUGGGCAUGCGUGACAUUAGCUAGUUGGUAAGGUAACGGCUUACCAAGGCUACGAUGUCUAGGGGUUCUGAGAGGAUGAUCCCCCGCACUGGUACUGAGACACGGACCAGACUCCUACGGGAGGCAGCAGUGAGGAAUAUUGGUCAAUGGGCGCAAGCCUGAACCAGCCAUCCCGCGUGCAGGAUGACGGCCCUAUGGGUUGUAAACUGCUUUUAUACACCAAGAAAAACACCUACGUGUAGGUGCCCGACGGUAGUGUAUGAAUAAG
This 506-nucleotide ribosomal RNA is filed under the name uncultured bacterium. RNAcentral describes it as "partial 16S ribosomal RNA". It matches the Rfam family "Bacterial small subunit ribosomal RNA", at positions 1 to 490 of the family's 1533-position model. The record is from RNAcentral.